CCUACGGGAGGCUGCAGUGAGGAAUAUUGGUCAAUGGACGAGAGUCUGAACCAGCCAAGUAGCGUGAAGGAUGAAUGCCCUAUGGGUUGUAAACUUAUUUUAUAUGGGAAUAAAAUGUUCCACGUGUGGGAUUUUGUCUGUACCAUAUGAAUAAGGAUCGGCUAACUCCGUGCCAGCAGCCGCGGUAAUACGGAGGAUCCGAGGGUUAUCCGGAUUUAUUGGAUGUAAAGGGAGCGCAGGUGGAUUGUUAAGUCAGUUGUGAAAGUUUGCGGCGCAACCGUAAAAUGGCAGUUGAAACUGGCAGUCUUGAGUACAGUAGAGGUGGGCGGAAUUCGUUGUGUAGCGGUGAAAUGCUUAGAUAUCACGAAGAACUCCGAUUGCGAAGGCAGUUCACUGGACUGCAACUGACACUGAGGCUCGAAAGUGUGGGUAUCAAACAGGAUUAGAUACCCUUGUAGUC
RNAcentral lists this ribosomal RNA (460 nucleotides) under uncultured bacterium. RNAcentral describes it as "partial 16S ribosomal RNA". It matches the Rfam family "Bacterial small subunit ribosomal RNA", at positions 338 to 795 of the family's 1533-position model. The record is from RNAcentral.